RNAcentral lists this ribosomal RNA (155 nucleotides) under Schistocerca americana (American grasshopper). RNAcentral describes it as "5.8S ribosomal RNA". It matches the Rfam family "5.8S ribosomal RNA". From Rfam's summary of the family: 5.8S ribosomal RNA (5.8S rRNA) is a component of the large subunit of the eukaryotic ribosome. Lineage: Eukaryota; Metazoa; Arthropoda; Insecta; Orthoptera; Acrididae. The record is from RNAcentral.
CACCCAGGACGGUGGAUCACUCGGCUCGUGGGUCGAUGAAGAACGCAGCAAAUUGCGCGUCGACAUGUGAACUGCAGGACACAUGAACAUCGACGUUUCGAACGCAAAUUGCGGUCCAUGGAUUCCGUUCCCGGGCCACGUCUGGCUGAGGGUCG